CUUACAAUAGGAUAAGGUAUAUUAUAUGCCUGUAAGUAGUUUAUGUAGCUUCAGAUACCAUAGGUAAAGGCACCUAUUACCGUGGUAGUUAAGGAACUUUUCAAAAGAGAUCCAAAAAUUAAGGGUAUCAAUGCUGUCUAGCAGCCAGGAAUAUUUUUUUUUCAUCAGAGCAUUUAAUGGACUUUCCGUUUCACACGUUUUUGGAUUCAUUUUGGGUUAUUAUAUGUAUUAAAAUAUUUUUUGAAGCCAAAAUGACCAAAUCUUCUAUUACCGUGGCAAGGGACAGGCUGUGAUUCUAUUACCGCGAAUUGAGCUUUCAUUACCGAGGGUACAAUUGGCAUGAUUUUUCUACACUCGUUAAUAGAAACCAAACUCAAAAUUCGAAACCUAAUACCGAGGGUUAAAACGAUAAUAACGACGUGGGUUCUGUAUAUUAUUUUUGUGUCAUUAAGUUUAAUAAUGACACAAAAAUAAAAAAUAAAACUAUAGGAGUAUGUUUAAAAAUAGCAAAAAUACAAUACCAAAUAGUCACUCGGUAAUAGUUAACUCUUUAAGAGCCUAUUACCGACCCAUUCGAUGUUUCUAUGGGUCGGUAAUAGAUUUCUAUACAUUCUAUCACCGAGGGUAAUCUGAUCAUACCAUCGGUAAUAGGCUUAAUUUGAAGUUUGAUUAAACCUAAUUCCGACCCAUAAAAAGAAUAAAACACAGAUGGUUUUUCAAAUCAAAUCAAACACGUAUAUUACAAGCUUCUUAUAAAGACAAAAUCACAUAACCGGCAAGUAAAUUUUAGGUUUUAUCUCAAAAUAAAAAAAAGUUGACAGAUUAAGGGUUCCCAUAGAAACAAGGAAAUCGGUGCUGAAGUUUUUGUUAAAAAUUAAGGGUUAGUUGAAUACUUUCCAUACCACGGAAAUAGCUCUUUAAUAGCGUGAAUAGAUCAAGAUUGGAAUAAAUAAAAGAAAUUAUAAAACUGAUAAUUUGUACCAAAACUAAAGAGUAAAUAACAAAACUACCACUUUUUCUAUUACCGUGGCAUACCACGGAAUUACUUACCACAGAAGUAAUUGGCGCCUAUCACCGCUGUAUUUUAUUUUCCAUUUUAAACGUAUUUCCCGGUCAAAAACUAAGUUAAAAGUAAUUCAAAAUCGUGUAGAAAACAAUACACAACCUCUUAAAAGGCAUUGCACUAGUUUAUUUGCCAUAACUAUUACGUAAAACACUAAGUAAGAUUGAAGUGCACUUACCUGUGGCGUCACGCGUUUGUAUGGAAUAACCGGUUCUUGCGCCGCCGUCGCACAAACUGACGAAUCGCGACUUUUUUGUUACAAUCACACAAAUGCACACUAAUGGGCACGAUAGACCAAUGAAUGAGCUUGUUUUGUGUAUGCUUUAUUUCUUAGGGAAUAGAUCUGUUUGCUUGCAAAAUGCGUAUUUGUAAACACCGCGGUGUUAGACGUCGAUUUUGAUACCCGCGUUAAUAGCCGCCGUUACCUUA
Molecule: long non-coding RNA, 1492 nt
Organism: Cydia splendana
Lineage: Eukaryota; Metazoa; Arthropoda; Insecta; Lepidoptera; Tortricidae
Exons: 2
Source: RefSeq, a predicted model, not a curated record